GAUGAACGCUGGCGGCGUGCUUAACACAUGCAAGUCGAACGGGAAACCUUUUAUUGAAGCUUCGGCAGAUUUAGCUGGUUUCUAGUGGCGGACGGGUGAGUAACGCGUGGGUAACCUGCCUUAUACAGGGGGAUAACAACCAGAAAUGGUUGCUAAUACCGCAUAAGCGCACAGGACCGCAUGGUCCGGUGUGAAAAACUCCGGUGGUAUAAGAUGGACCCGCGUUGGAUUAGCUAGUUGGCAGGGUAACGGCCUACCAAGGCGACGAUCCAUAGCCGGCCUGAGAGGGUGAACGGCCACAUUGGGACUGAGACACGGCCCAGACUCCUACGGGAGGCAGCAGUGGGGAAUAUUGCACAAUGGGGGAAACCCUGAUGCAGCGACGCCGCGUGAAGGAAGAAGUAUCUAGGUAUGUAAACUUCUAUCAGCAGGGAAGAUAGUGACGGUACCUGAAUAAGAAGCCCCGGCUAACUACGUG
RNAcentral lists this ribosomal RNA (478 nucleotides) under uncultured bacterium. RNAcentral's name for it is "partial 16S ribosomal RNA". It matches the Rfam family "Bacterial small subunit ribosomal RNA", at positions 28 to 507 of the family's 1533-position model. The record is from RNAcentral.